This 372-nucleotide ribosomal RNA is filed under the name uncultured organism. RNAcentral describes it as "bacterial SSU rRNA". It matches the Rfam family "Bacterial small subunit ribosomal RNA", at positions 526 to 896 of the family's 1533-position model. The record is from RNAcentral.
CAGAGGGGGCAAGCGUUGUUCGGAAUUACUGGGCGUAAAGGGCGCGUAGGCGGCCUGCUAAGUCGAACGUGAAAUCCCCGGGCUCAACCCGGGAACUGCGUCCGAUACUGGCAGGCUUGAAUUCGGGAGAGGGAUGCGGAAUUCCAGGUGUAGCGGUGAAAUGCGUAGAUAUCUGGAGGAACACCGGUGGCGAAGGCGGCAUCCUGGACCGAGAUUGACGCUGAUGCGCGAAAGCCAGGGGAGCAAACGGGAUUAGAUACCCCGGUAGUCCUGGCCCUAAACGAUGAAUGCUUGGUGUGGCGGGUAUCGAUCCCUGCCGUGCCGAAGCUAACGCAUUAAGCAUUCCGCCUGGGGAGUACGGUCGCAAGGCUG